This 28-nucleotide non-coding RNA is filed under the name Homo sapiens (human). The record is from RNAcentral. Lineage: Eukaryota; Metazoa; Chordata; Mammalia; Primates; Hominidae.
UGGCAGUUUUCUAUUCAGCGUCCUCGGC